Molecule: ribosomal RNA, 355 nt
Filed under: uncultured bacterium
Lineage: Bacteria
Description: bacterial SSU rRNA
Rfam family: Bacterial small subunit ribosomal RNA
Source: RNAcentral
AUUGAACGCUGGCGGCGUGCUUAACACAUGCAAGUCGAUCGGUAACAGGUGUAGCAAUACAUGCUGACGAGAGGCGGACGGGUGAGUAAUGCUUGGGAAUCUGCCUAUUAGUGGGGGACAACCCGGGGAACUCGGGCUAAUACCGCAUUACGCUCUACGGAGGAAAGCCGGGGACCGCAAGGCCUGGCGCUAAUAGAUGAGCCCAAGUCGGAUUAGCUAGUUGGUAGGUAACGGCCUACCAAGGCGACAAUCCGUAGCUGGUCCUGAGAGGACGACCAGCCACACCGGAACUGAGACACGGUCCGGACUCCUACGGGAGGCAGCAGUGGGGAAUAUUGGACAAUGGGGGCAACCC